AGAAUAUAAAAACCCGUCUCUUAACUUUUAACUAAAAAGCUAAGAACUGGUUCUUAAAUAAGAGUUUUAAGAACCGGUUCUUAACUUUUUUAGUUAAAAUUAAAAGACAGGUUCUUAUAUUCC
Molecule: microRNA precursor, 123 nt
Organism: Brassica oleracea var. oleracea
Lineage: Eukaryota; Viridiplantae; Streptophyta; Magnoliopsida; Brassicales; Brassicaceae
Rfam family: MIR9563 microRNA precursor family
Source: Rfam